CGCGGCCUAUCAGCUUGUUGGUGAGGUAACGGCUCACCAAGGCGACGACGGGUAGCUGGUCUGAGAGGACGAUCAGCCACACUGGGACUGAGACACGGCCCAGACUCCUACGGGAGGCAGCAGUGGGGAAUCUUGCGCAAUGGGGGAAACCCUGACGCAGCGACGCCGCGUGCGGGAUGAAGGCCCUAGGGUUGUAAACCGCUUUCAGCAGGGACGAAAUUGACGGUACCUGCAGAAGAAGGCCCGGCUAACUACGUGCCAGCAGCCGCGGUAAUACGUAGGGGCCAAGCGUUGUCCGGAAUUAUUGGGCGUAAAGAGCUCGUAGGCGGUUUGGUAAGUCGGAUGUGAAAUCUCCACGCUCAACGUGGAGCGGCCAUUCGAUACUGCCAUGACUUGAGUCCGGUAGGGGAGUGUGGAAUUCCCGGUGUAGCGGUGAAAUGCGCAGAGAUCGGGAGGAACACCCGUAGCGAAGGCGGCACUCUGGGCCGGUACUGACGCUGAGGAGCGAAAGCGUGGGGAGCGAACAGGAUUAGAUACCCUGGUAGUCCACGCCGUAAACGUUGGGCACUAGGUGUGGGACUCUAUCGACGGGUUCCGUGCCGUAGCUAACGCAUUAAGUGCCCCGCCUGGGGAGUACGG
This 639-nucleotide ribosomal RNA is filed under the name uncultured bacterium. RNAcentral's name for it is "bacterial SSU rRNA". It matches the Rfam family "Bacterial small subunit ribosomal RNA", at positions 232 to 885 of the family's 1533-position model. The record is from RNAcentral.